This 492-nucleotide ribosomal RNA is filed under the name uncultured bacterium. Its description in RNAcentral is "partial 16S ribosomal RNA". It matches the Rfam family "Bacterial small subunit ribosomal RNA", at positions 29 to 507 of the family's 1533-position model. The record is from RNAcentral.
AGUGAACGCUGGCGGUAGGCCUAACACAUGCAAGUCGAACGGCAGCACAGUAAGAGCUUGCUCUUGCGGGUGGCGAGUGGCGGACGGGUGAGGAAUACAUCGGAAUCUACUUUUUCGUGGGGGAUAACGUAGGGAAACUUACGCUAAUACCGCAUACGACCUACGGGUGAAAGCAGGGGAUCUUCGGACCUUGCGCGAUUGAAUGAGCCGAUGUCGGAUUAGCUAGUUGGCGGGGUAAAGGCCCACCAAGGCGACGAUCCGUAGCUGGUCUGAGAGGAUGAACAGCCACACCUGGACUGAGACACGGUCCCGACUCCCUAGGGAGGCAACAGUUGGGAAAAUUGGGAAAUGGGCGCAAGCCUUAUCCAGCCAUACCGCGUGGGUGAAGAAGGCCUUCGGGUUGUAAAGCCCUUUUGUUGGGAAAGAAAAGCAGCAGGUUAAUACCCCGCUGUUCUGACGGUACCCAAAGAAUAAGCACCGGCUAACUUCGUG